GACGUAGGGCGCGAGCGUUGUCCGGAUUUAUUGGGCGUAAAGAGCUGCGUAGGCGGUUUGUCGCGUCUGCCGUGAAAGUCCGGGGCUCAACUCCGGAUCUGCGGUGGGUACGGGCAGACUAGAGUGAUGUAGGGGAGACUGGAAUUCCUGGUGUAGCGGUGAAAUGCGCAGAUAUCAGGAGGAACACCGAUGGCGAAGGCAGGUCUCUGGGCAUUAACUGACGCUGAGGAGCGAAAGCAUGGGGAGCGAACAGG
Molecule: ribosomal RNA, 254 nt
Filed under: uncultured bacterium
Lineage: Bacteria
Description: partial 16S ribosomal RNA
Rfam family: Bacterial small subunit ribosomal RNA
Source: RNAcentral